Molecule: ribosomal RNA, 916 nt
Filed under: uncultured bacterium
Lineage: Bacteria
Description: bacterial SSU rRNA
Rfam family: Bacterial small subunit ribosomal RNA
Source: RNAcentral
UUGUUGGUAGGGUAAAGGCUUACCAAGGCUUCGAUCAGUAGCUGGUCUGAGAGGACGGCCAGCCACACUGGGACUGAGACACGGCCCAGACUCCUACGGGAGGCAGCAGUGGGGAAUUUUGGACAAUGGGGGAAACCCUGAUCCAGCCAUGCCGCGUGAGUGAAGAAGGCCUUCGGGUUGUAAAGCUCUUUCAGCCGGAAAGAAACGGUUACGGAUAAUACCCGUGACUACUGACGGUACCGGAAGAAGAAGCACCGGCUAACUACGUGCCAGCAGCCGCGGUAAUACGUAGGGUGCGAGCGUUAAUCGGAAUUACUGGGCGUAAAGCGUGCGCAGGUGGUUUUGUAAGUCAGAUGUGAAAGCCACGGGCUCAACCUGGGAACUGCGUUUGAAACUACAAGACUAGAGUGUGGCAGAGGGGGGUGGAAUUCCGCGUGUAGCAGUGAAAUGCGUAGAGAUGUGGAGGAACACCGAUGGCGAAGGCAGCCCCCUGGGUUAACACUGACACUCAGGCACGAAAGCAUGGGGAGCAAACAGGAUUAGAUACCCUGGUAGUCCAUGCCCUAAACGAUGUCAACUAGUUGUCGGGCCUUUACGGGCUUGGUAACGUAGCUAACGCGUGAAGUUGACCGCCUGGGGAGUACGAUCGCAAGAUUAAAACUCAAAUGAAUUGACGGGGACCCGCACAAGCGGUGGAUUAUGUGGAUUAAUUCGAUGCAACGCGAAAAACCUUACCUACCCUUGACAUGUAUCGAAGCCCGCAGAAAAGCGGGGGUGCCCGAAAGGGAACGAUAACACAGGUGCUGCAUGGCUGUCGUCAGCUCGUGUCGUGAGAUGUUGGGUUAAGUCCCGCAACGAGCGCAACCCUUGUCAUUAAUUGCCAUCAUUUAGUUGGGCACUUUAAUGAGACUGCCGG